RNAcentral lists this long non-coding RNA (660 nucleotides) under Malus domestica (apple). RNAcentral's name for it is "long non-coding RNA (MDOM_LNC003967)". Lineage: Eukaryota; Viridiplantae; Streptophyta; Magnoliopsida; Rosales; Rosaceae. The record is from RNAcentral.
GAGGGAUUUCUUCUUCUUCUUCUUCUUUUCGUUCUAUUUUUGUUGAUUAUAAAAAAGUGGAAUUACCAAAAAGAAAAGAAAAAAAAUAAUGGAAUGACCUUUUUACCCCUGCAUGUGGAUGAGAUUUUGAUAGAAAUUUCAAUUUGGACUACGAUUGAUAAUGAACUUCACCACAGGGUUAAGAUUAACACUUUUUUCACCACAAGGGUCAAUUUAAAAGUAGUGUCUCACCAUAGGGGUCGUUGUGGUUGUGCAUAUGUGUGUGUGUGUGUGUGUGUGUGUGUGUAUUGAGCUUAUGGUAGUACUAUAUACAUUUGAACGUGUGUGUGUGUGUGUGUGUGUAUGUUAGGAGUAAUAAUGUGUGUAAUAACUAUUUGUUCAUUGUAAUUAAGGUGAGUAAUUACAUUUAUUGGUUUAUUUUGAAUAUUGUGGUACAAGUUGUAAAUAUCUUGUAAUAAUAGGUCAAUUAUUUUUCUACUUGGUAGUCAUUUUCAAAAUUGAGUUUUAUUUGGAAGUUUAUAACUAGGUGGGUUUUUGUCUAGAAAAUAAAAGUUGCUAGGGCCUAUAUCUAAAGAACUUUUUUUUUCAACGCUUUUAGCCGUUUCUCAAUGUUUUUUACUUCUUUUACGUUUUAAAACCCCAAUUCUCAUAUUGCAACCC